ACAUUAAAUCGCGCAGUGGCAACACUAAUCGCAGCUGAUGAAGGACGUCGCUCUGUGUCGGUCGUUCUGCGAAAAAUCAAACAAACCACCAUAUUUGUUUCGUACUGCGCCACCAAGGCUCAGUGUGGAUUGUGUGUGAGGUGCCGGCGCGAUCGCCGUACUCGUGCACUGUGGCGAAAGUAACUCCGUACCCGAACAUGAGUUAUUCCGGCAGGAAUAAGUUCGAGAUAUCUCGCUUCUCGAAUGAGGAUGAGAACCACAUCAACAAGAAGCUGCCUAAGGAGCUCCUGCUGCGCAUCCUGUCUUACCUGGACGUGGUGUCGCUGUGCCGCUGCGCGCAGGUAUCAAAACUAUGGAAUAUUCUGGCGCUGGAUGGGUCCAACUGGCAACGGAUAGACCUGUUCGAGUUCCAGAGAGAUGUCGAGGGCCCGGUGAUCGAGAACAUAUCGCAGCGAUGCGGCGGGUUCCUGCGGCAGCUGUCGCUCCGCGGCUGCGAGAGUAUCGGGGACGGGUCCGUGAAGACGCUGGCCCAGGCCUGCCCCAACAUCGAGGACCUCAACCUCAACAAGUGCAAGAAGAUCACCGACCAGACCUGCCAGGCGCUUGGCCGCCGCUGCAACAAGCUGCAGAAAAUAAACCUGGACUCGUGUCCCAGCAUCACGGAUAUAUCUCUGAAGGCGUUGUCUGACGGCUGUCCCAUGCUGACGCACGUGAACGUGUCGUGGUGCCAGUCCAUCAGCGAGAACGGCGUGGAGGCGCUCGCGCGCGGCUGUCCCAAGCUCAGGAGCUUCAUAUGCAGAGGCUGUAAGAACGUGAACGACCGCGCGGUGUCGUGCCUCGCGACGUACUGCCCCGACCUCGAGGUGCUCAACGUGCAGGGCUGCGACUCGGUGACGGACGACUCCAUCUCGAAGCUGGGUGGGUCGCUGCGGCGCCUGUGUGCGUCGGGCUGCUCGCGGCUGACGGACGCGUCGCUCGCGGCGCUGGCGGCGCGCUGCCCCGAGCUCGCCACGCUCGAGCUGGCGCAGUGCGCGCAGCUCACCGACGCGGGCUUCCAGGCGCUCGCCAGGAGUUGCCGCAUGCUGGAGCGGAUGGACCUGGAGGAGUGCGUACUCAUCACGGACGCGACGCUCGUGCACCUCUCCAUGGGCUGCCCCAGGCUCGAGAAACUGUACUCUGUAGUGAGUGGUGUGCGCAGACGCUGUCGCACUGCGAGCUCAUCACCGACUACGGCAUCAAGCAGCUCUCCAUGUCGCCCUGCGCCGCCGAACACCUCACCGUACUCGGUCUGGACAACUGUCCGCUGGUGACGGACGGCGCGCUGGAGCACCUCAUCUCGUGUCACAACCUGCAGCUCAUCGAGCUGUACGACUGCCAGAUGGUCACCAGGAACGCCAUCCGGAAACUCAGGAACCACCUGCCGAACAUCAAGGUGCACGCGUACUUCGCGCCGGUGACGCCGCCGGCGGCGGGCGCGGGCGCGCGGCCGCGCUACUGCCGCUGCUGCAACAUCAUCUGAGCCGCCGUCACAGCCGCAGGCACGAGCCUCGGAGCCGCGCGCCGGUCAUGAUGGUGUCUGUAACGUGCGAGCUCUGGCGAGAGUUGCAUUUUCCGUCUGAGAGUGAGUCGAACGGUACAUUUGGCCGCGA
Molecule: unclassified non-coding RNA, 1649 nt
Filed under: Manduca sexta (tobacco hornworm)
Lineage: Eukaryota; Metazoa; Arthropoda; Insecta; Lepidoptera; Sphingidae
Description: f-box/LRR-repeat protein 20, transcript variant X2
Source: RNAcentral